ACUCAAAGGAAUAGACGGGGACCCGCACAAGCGGUGGAGCAUGUGGAUUAAUUCGAUACUAACCGAAGAACCUUACCCAGGUUUGACAUCGAUCGAAAGCUCUAGAGAUAGGGCCUUCCUCCCAAAAGGAGGACGUGAAGACACUUGUUGCAUGGCUGUCGUCAGCUCGUGCCGUGAGGUGUACGGUUAAGUCCGCCAACGAGCGCAACCCACGUCCUGUGUUACCAGCAUGAAAGAUGGGGACUCACAGGAGACCGCCGGUGUAAGCCGGAGGAAGGUGUGGAUGACGUCAAGUCAGCAUGGCAGUUACGCCUGGGGCUUCACACAUGCUACAAUGGGCGAAACAAAGGGCAGCAAUACCGCGAGGUGGAGCAAAUCCCAAAAAUACGCCCCCAGUUCAGAUUGCAGUCUGCAACUCGACUGCAUGAAGGCGGAAUCGCUAGUAAACGCAGGUCAGCUAUACUGCGUUGAAUACGUUCCCGGGUCUUGUACACACCGCCCGU
This 503-nucleotide ribosomal RNA is filed under the name uncultured bacterium. RNAcentral describes it as "partial 16S ribosomal RNA". It matches the Rfam family "Bacterial small subunit ribosomal RNA", at positions 899 to 1397 of the family's 1533-position model. The record is from RNAcentral.